This 73-nucleotide transfer RNA is filed under the name Stegodyphus mimosarum. It matches the Rfam family "tRNA". Rfam says of the family: Transfer RNA (tRNA) molecules are approximately 80 nucleotides in length. Lineage: Eukaryota; Metazoa; Arthropoda; Arachnida; Araneae; Eresidae. The record is from Rfam by way of RNAcentral.
GCCUUCGUGGUGUAGUGGUCAGCACGUUCGACACGAGGUCGAGUUGUCCGUGGUUCGAGUCCCAGCGAGGGCA